GACGAACCGUCCAAACGUUAUUCGGAAUCACUGGGCUUAAAGGGUGCGUAGGCGGCGCGGAAAGUUGGGUGUGAAAUCCCUCGGCUCAACCGAGGAACUGCGCCCAAAACUACCGUGCUCGAGGGAGAUAGAGGUGAGCGGAACUUAGGGUGGAGCGGUGAAAUGCGUUGAUAUCCUAAGGAACACCGGUGGCGAAAGCGGCUCACUGGAUCUCUUCUGACGCUGAGGCACGAAAGCUAGGGUAGCGAACGGGAUUAGAAACCCCCGUAGUCC
RNAcentral lists this ribosomal RNA (273 nucleotides) under uncultured bacterium. RNAcentral describes it as "partial 16S ribosomal RNA". It matches the Rfam family "Bacterial small subunit ribosomal RNA", at positions 524 to 796 of the family's 1533-position model. The record is from RNAcentral.